Molecule: non-coding RNA, 69 nt
Organism: Pygoscelis adeliae (Adelie penguin)
Lineage: Eukaryota; Metazoa; Chordata; Aves; Sphenisciformes; Spheniscidae
Source: Rfam
GCCCAGCUAGCUCAGUCGGUAAAGCAUGGGACUCAAUCCCAGGGUCAUGGGUUCACCCCACAUUGGGCG